GGGAGGGGGAGAGAUCCGGGUUGGCUAGCCGGUCAGCCUUUCAAGCCUGCGACAAUUGUUCGAACCCCCGUGGUGCCACUCUCGAUAGGAUUUUGAGGGUAGGCACCGCCUAGACGUAUCACAGUAAAUCUGAUCCUUAGCGUUUUCAUAAAAUAUGUGGUUAUCCUAACUAGUCCAUAGUUUGCGGACUCGAAAUACGAGAAAUAAAUUAAUUUGUUGUAGCGUGCUACUGACUAGGGCUACCUAUGUGUGUGGCCAUUUCUUGUAAAACUCUUCAUCAACUGAUUAAGCUGUUGU
Molecule: long non-coding RNA, 297 nt
Filed under: Setaria viridis
Lineage: Eukaryota; Viridiplantae; Streptophyta; Magnoliopsida; Poales; Poaceae
Description: long non-coding RNA (SVIR_LNC002652)
Source: RNAcentral